Molecule: ribosomal RNA, 254 nt
Filed under: uncultured microorganism
Description: partial 16S ribosomal RNA
Rfam family: Archaeal small subunit ribosomal RNA
Source: RNAcentral
CACCGGCGGCUCGAGUGGUGGCCACUUUUAUUGGGUCUAAAGCGUCCGUAGCCGGCUUGGCAAGUCCCCUGGGAAAUCUGGCGGCUUAACCGUCAGGCGUCCAGAGGAUACUGCCAGGCUUGGGACCGGGAGAGGUGAGAGGUACCUCAGGGGUAGGGGUGAAAUCUUGUGAUCCCUGAGGGACCACCAGUGGCGAAGGCGUCUGGUUAGAAUAGGUCCGACGGUGAUGGACGAAGGCUGGGGGCGCAAACCGG